GGGCGCUAAGUUGCAGGGUAUAGACCCGAAACCCGGUGAUCUAGCCAUGGGCAGGUUGAAGGUUGGGUAACACUAACUGGAGGACCGAACCGACUAAUGUUGAAAAAUUAGCGGAUGACCUGUGGCUGGGGGUGAAAGGCCAAUCAAACCGGGAGAUAGCUGGUUCUCCCCGAAAGCUAUUUAGGUAGCGCCUCGUGAACUCAUCUCCGGGGGUAGAGCACUGUUUCGGCUAGGGGGCCAUCCCGGCUUACCAACCCGAUGCAAACUGCGAAUACCGGAGAAUGUUAUCACGGGAGACACACGGCGGGUGCUAACGUCCGUCGUGAAGAGGGAAACAACCCAGACCGCCAGCUAAGGUCCCAAAGUCAUGGUUAAGUGGGAAACGAUGUGGGAAGGCACAGACAGCCAGGAUGUUGGCUUAGAAGCAGCCAUCAUUUAAAGAAAGCGUAAUAGCUCACUGGUCGAGUCGGCCUGCGCGGAAGAUGUAACGGGGCUAAACCAUGCACCGAAGCUGCGGCAGCGACGCUUGCGUCGCUGGGUAGGGGAGCGUUCUGUAAGCCGCAGAAGGCGUGCUGUGAGGCAUGCUGGAGGUAUCAGAAGUGCGAAUGCUGACAUAAGUAACGAUAAAGCGGGUGAAAAGCCCGCUCGCCGGAAGACCAAGGGUUCCUGUCCAACGUUAAUCGGGGCAGGGUGAGUCGACCCCUAAGGCGAGGCCGAAAGGCGUAGUCGAUGGGAAGCAGGUUAAUAUUCCUGCACUUGGUGUUGCUGCGAAGGGGGGACGGAGAAGGCUAGGUUAUCCGGGCGACGGUUGUCCCGGUUUAAGCGUGCAGGUGUGA
This 836-nucleotide ribosomal RNA is filed under the name Pantoea sp. Acro-807. RNAcentral's name for it is "partial 23S ribosomal RNA". It matches the Rfam family "Bacterial large subunit ribosomal RNA", at positions 690 to 1529 of the family's 2925-position model. The record is from RNAcentral. Lineage: Bacteria; Pseudomonadati; Pseudomonadota; Gammaproteobacteria; Enterobacterales; Erwiniaceae.